CGCGUAGGCGGUUGUUUAAGUCAGCUGUGAAAGCCCCGGGCUCAACCUGGGAAUUGCAGUUGAUACUGGACGACUAGAGUACGAGAGAGGGAGGUAGAAUUCCACGUGUAGCGGUGAAAUGCGUAGAUAUGUGGAGGAAUACCGGUGGCGAAGGCGGCCUCCUGGCUCGAUACUGACGCUGAGGUGCGAAAGCGUGGGGAGCAAACA
This 207-nucleotide ribosomal RNA is filed under the name uncultured bacterium. Its description in RNAcentral is "partial 16S ribosomal RNA". It matches the Rfam family "Bacterial small subunit ribosomal RNA", at positions 568 to 774 of the family's 1533-position model. The record is from RNAcentral.